GUAGGUGGCAAGCGUUGUCCGGAAUUAUUGGGCGUAAAGCGCGCGCAGGUGGUUCUUUAAGUCUGAUGUGAAAGCCCCCGGGCUCAACCGGGGAGGGUCAUUGGAAACUGGGGAACUUGAGUGCAGGAGAGGAAAGUGGAAUUCCACGUGUAGCGGUGAAAUGCGUAGAUAUGUGGAGGAACACCAGUGGCGAAGGCGACUUUCUGGCCUGUAACUGACACUGAGGCGCGAAAGCGUGGGGAGCAAACAGGAUUAGAUACCCUAGUAGUCCACGCCGUAAACGAUGAGUGCUAAGUGUUGGGGGGUUUCCGCCCCUCAGUGCUGCAGCUAACGCAUUAAGCACUCCGCCUGGGGAGUACGGCCGCAAAGACUG
This 373-nucleotide ribosomal RNA is filed under the name uncultured organism. RNAcentral's name for it is "partial 16S ribosomal RNA". It matches the Rfam family "Bacterial small subunit ribosomal RNA", at positions 527 to 896 of the family's 1533-position model. The record is from RNAcentral.